RNAcentral lists this long non-coding RNA (1541 nucleotides) under Oreochromis niloticus (Nile tilapia). Its description in RNAcentral is "lncRNA (ENSONIG00000035332.1)". The record is from RNAcentral. Lineage: Eukaryota; Metazoa; Chordata; Actinopteri; Cichliformes; Cichlidae.
UACUGUAGAAAUUCUACAUCAUCAGUUUGCAGCAGGAGGUCCUCUGUGCCUUGUCUAAGGUUGUUGUGUGUUUUGCCCUUUUUCUGGCAUGAAUAGGGAAAAUUGAUGCGGAAGUGAUAAAAUAACAAUGAGAUCAAAUUCUAAAUAGCAGUACUUUAAAAAAUAAAAUUAAUACACACAUUAAAAUGCUUUAUUACAUUUGGUUGAAGCAGCAAUUAAAACAUUUCUAUUUUUAGUUUUGAAACAAAUCUAAUUUACUAACAGAUGGUUGACCCAAGACACGCUGGAGAGAUUAUAUCUCUCGGCUGGCCUGGGAACGCCUUGGUGUUCCCCCGGAUAAGCUGGAGGAGGUGGUUGGGGAGAGGGAGGUCUGGGCUUCUCUGCUUAGGCUGCUGCCCCCGCGACCCAGCCCCAGAUAAAGCAGAAGAUGGAUGGAUGGAUGGAUGGAUGGAUGGUUGAGACAUUUGCUUUCACUGUUCAUUAUCAUUAUCAGCUACCAUCUCAAACUCAUGAGCAUGAAACAUUUCCUCAUACCAGAACAAUUUACUAGACAUUGUAUAGGACGCUAUGCUGGAAACAGCAAAUAGAUAAAAGGAGGAGAGUCAGAGAGAGGCUGUGUUUGACGUACAAGUGUCUUUGUGAAGACUAACAGAUUGACCAUGUCGCUCUCCGUGGUGCUGCUGCUGCUGCUGCAUCUGACGGUCUGCAACUCGCAGAAUAUCGAUUUCUUCGUUAAAAAUUUAAAUGGCUUUGUUGGCGCAAUCAACUUCUAUACAAAAGAGAAGUAUGUAAAUGAUUCCUCCUCGCUGACCAUUCGCCUAAUGGGGAACAAUCUCAACUGCACUCCCGAUUUCUCAUUUGAUUGCCAAAAUAGCAGCUGUGGGUAUGUGAACACUUUGGUACGCACGGUCGACCAAGAAGGCAGCGGAGAGUGGUGUCAGAAUGAACUUAGGUCUGUUCAGCCAUCUCCCAUUAAUGUGGUUGAUUCACUGAGCAUCCCUGGUGUUAAUUGGGUUAGUGGCAUCAAAAACAACAUUGGAUCAUGGAGAACUGCAGUAGCAUUCGACCUGAGGAACCGCUCUGACACCAGAAAAGAAAACUCCUCACCCCAGUCUACCGUGAUCCCAUUUGUGAGAGUUCCUUCAAACUGUCGGAGAGAUUUCAGCCCGUUGAUGUUUGACCCUGAUGGUGAUCAGGUUAAAUGCAGAUAUGGAAACACAUCGUCUGUCACGGUCUGCCAUGCAGACCGUGGGGACGAGGAAAGUAGGACCCAAAACGCGGGACUCUUCGAUGCCACAGUGCACUUUAUUUACAGUGACCAGACAGGUAAGUCCAACAAUAAACUCAAAGGUGCAAUAUUCCAAUGGUGCUCGUCUCCUGCUCCCAGUGCGUCCCGUGCUGUAGCUCCCUUAGUGCGUGUGCUCCCCAACUCGCUUCUCCGCUCGGCUAUCCUGGAGGAAGACAGAGAGUCCACAAUUAGCCACACGCUAGCCGACAAACACGCUCACGCUGCUCGCACGGACUAUACCAGUUCGGAGUAA